Molecule: ribosomal RNA, 118 nt
Filed under: Cordylochernes scorpioides
Lineage: Eukaryota; Metazoa; Arthropoda; Arachnida; Pseudoscorpiones; Chernetidae
Source: RNAcentral
ACGGUCAUACCACAUUGGAAACACCGGUUCUCAUCCGAUCACCGAAGUUAAGCAAUGGCAGGCCUGCUCAGUACUUGGGAGGGUGACCAUUUAGGAACACCAGGUGUAUCUGUAGGCU